UACGAAGGGGGCUAGCGUUGUUCGGAAUUACUGGGCGUAAAGCGCACGUAGGCGGACAUUUAAGUCAGGGGUGAAAUCCCAGAGCUCAACUCUGGAACUGCCUUUGAUACUGGGUGUCUUGAGUAUGGAAGAGGUGAGUGGAAUUCCGAGUGUAGAGGUGAAAUUCGUAGAUAUUCGGAGGAACACCAGUGGCGAAGGCGGCUCACUGGUCCAUUACUGACGCUGAGGAGCGAAAGCCAGGGGAGCAAACGGG
Molecule: ribosomal RNA, 253 nt
Filed under: uncultured bacterium
Lineage: Bacteria
Description: partial 16S ribosomal RNA
Rfam family: Bacterial small subunit ribosomal RNA
Source: RNAcentral